Molecule: ribosomal RNA, 253 nt
Filed under: uncultured bacterium
Lineage: Bacteria
Description: partial 16S ribosomal RNA
Rfam family: Bacterial small subunit ribosomal RNA
Source: RNAcentral
UACGAAGGGGGCUAGCGUUGCUCGGAAUUACUGGGCGUAAAGCGUACGUAGGCGGAUCCUUAAGUCGGUGGUGAAAUCCUGAAGCUCAACUUCAGAACUGCCUUCGAUACUGGGGACCUUGAGUUCGGGAGAGGUGAGUGGAACUGCGAGUGUAGAGGUGAAAUUCGUAGAUAUUCGCAAGAACACCAGUGGCGAAGGCGGCUCACUGGCCCGAUACUGACGCUGAGGCACGAAAGCGUGGGGAGCAAACAGG